CCUGAAACACUGCUGGGAAGGAUUCUGGCUACCUUUUGGAAAGAGAGCUGUGGUCACUUUACAUUCCCUGUCAUCUGCAUUGCAACAUUAGGGGGUGAAAUGUGGUAGCACAGCCACUGAGCAAGUAGAGAGCCAUUGAUGAUUUUAGUUUGGGGGCUGUGGUAUGACAAAUGUGCUGUAAAGAGACAUAAAUGUAAUAACAGUAUACAGGACAAAGCGGAGGGGUGCAAGACUCCAAGUGCGCAUCGGGAAAGAGCGGCUUGGAGGAAAUCCUACUUUAGACAUGUGCUUGGAAAAUUAGGGAUAGAGGCACUCUGGUGCCAGAAAGAAAGGGCCCAGGAGAUGUCACUAUUUAGUGGAAGGAACUUGUAAAUGGGAGGUCCAGAGAGAAAAGGAAACGGACACUCUAGUAUGAAGUGAAAGUGAAUGCAAGCAAUUGAAGUUGAAGUUAUAAAUACAGUUUUUCUUAUCUCCUCUCAAAUCUCCCAUUAAGAUGGGAAUUUAUUUUCUAUUUUUUUUGUGUGUUAAGUUAGGCAUGAUAGUAACCCCAAAAUAGAGAAACUCAAAAAUAAUAGGGGGUAAGUAAGAUAUAAAUGAUUUCUCUCAUGAUCAACCCAAACAUAAAUGAUCCAUGGCAAGUAUCACAUACGAUGUCACUAUCAUGUCAGAGAACCAGGCUGUUUUUGUUCUCAAUAUUUGUUUCCUCCUCAUGAGUCAAUGCCUGCCACCUCUGUCGUUUAUAUUUGCAAUAUUAACUAAAGAAAAGAAAGAAACAGAGCAC
RNAcentral lists this long non-coding RNA (781 nucleotides) under Marmota monax (woodchuck). Lineage: Eukaryota; Metazoa; Chordata; Mammalia; Rodentia; Sciuridae. The record is from RNAcentral.